GGAUUGUGGGUCAGUGGUAGAGCACUCGCCUAGCAUGCAUGAGGCACUGGGUUCAAUCCUCAGCACCA
This 68-nucleotide transfer RNA is filed under the name Marmota monax (woodchuck). RNAcentral describes it as "tRNA.Ala". The record is from RNAcentral. Lineage: Eukaryota; Metazoa; Chordata; Mammalia; Rodentia; Sciuridae.